GCGUUGAUGGUUUAGUGGUAAAAUUGGCCGUUGCCACCCGAUUCCUUAAUAGGAAGGAGCUCAACUCCCCCUACAAAGGAACAACUUCGGCCAGCCCCGGGUUCGAUUCCCGGUCGACGCA
RNAcentral lists this transfer RNA (121 nucleotides) under Hortaea werneckii EXF-2000. It matches the Rfam family "tRNA". Rfam says of the family: Transfer RNA (tRNA) molecules are approximately 80 nucleotides in length. Their secondary structure includes four short double-helical elements and three loops (D, anti-codon, and T loops). Lineage: Eukaryota; Fungi; Ascomycota; Dothideomycetes; Mycosphaerellales; Teratosphaeriaceae. The record is from Rfam by way of RNAcentral.